GGGCUCAACCUGGGGAACUGGCAUCCAAAACUGGGCGAGCUAAAGUACGGUAGAGGGUGGUGGAAUUUCCUGUGUAGCGGUGAAUGCGUAGAUAUAGGAAGGAACAGCAGGGGCGAAGGGCGACCACCUGGACUGAUACUGACACUGAAGUGCGAAAGCGUGGGAAGCGAACAAGAUUAAAUACCCUAGUAGUCCGCGCCGUAAAAGAUGUCAACUAGCCGUUGAAAUCCUUGAGAUUUUAAGGGCGCACGGACGCGUUAGGUUGA
RNAcentral lists this ribosomal RNA (266 nucleotides) under Pseudomonas sp. Its description in RNAcentral is "partial 16S ribosomal RNA". It matches the Rfam family "Bacterial small subunit ribosomal RNA", at positions 605 to 868 of the family's 1533-position model. Lineage: Bacteria; Pseudomonadati; Pseudomonadota; Gammaproteobacteria; Pseudomonadales; Pseudomonadaceae. The record is from RNAcentral.